RNAcentral lists this transfer RNA (73 nucleotides) under Phycisphaerae bacterium. RNAcentral's name for it is "tRNA-Gln". It matches the Rfam family "tRNA". Rfam says of the family: Transfer RNA (tRNA) molecules are approximately 80 nucleotides in length. Their secondary structure includes four short double-helical elements and three loops (D, anti-codon, and T loops). Further hydrogen bonds mediate the characteristic L-shaped molecular structure. tRNAs have two regions of fundamental functional importance: the anti-codon, which is responsible for specific mRNA codon recognition, and the 3' end, to which the tRNAs corresponding amino acid is attached (by aminoacyl-tRNA synthetases). tRNAs cope with the degeneracy of the genetic code in two manners: having more than one tRNA (with a specific anti-codon) for a particular amino acid; and 'wobble' base-pairing, i.e. permitting non-standard base-pairing at the 3rd anti-codon position. The record is from RNAcentral. Lineage: Bacteria; Pseudomonadati; Planctomycetota; Phycisphaerae.
UGGCCCGUGGUACAGCGGGUAGCCCGUCGCACUUUGGAUGCGAAGGUCGCAGCUCCGAGCCCUGCCGGGCCAG